UCGAUGCCCUCCGUCCACCGCCGUCAUCAUCGCCCGACGGUGCCCUCGUUAAUCCUAUACUCUUUUUGAGUCUCUCCAAAUACCAGAAGCCGUCAUUCAAUAGGCAACAAUCUCUCUCCGGUAAUAAAAAACACCGACAACUUAUGUUUCGAGAACUCAUCGGAGCAAAGCUGUUAACUCAUCCUAUCUGUAGCCAAUUUUAGAUCGAAUUUUCAGAUUCGGUUCUGAUUUGUAUUCAUGAUUUUCGAUAAAAAUAUGGUUUGUAGUUGAUUUUCAAUAUAUUGUGGAGUGUCGUUGAUUUUUUAUAUUAAUUUUCUCUUAACCCAUUUUAGGCAUCCGUAGCGGCGAUCUGAUGUGGCAGAGUGGUAAUUGGCGGUUGACACAAGUGAUUUGCGUCCUUUCUUCACCUGAGAGUGAUUGGCAUGUAGAAGUUAGGGAGUGGUUGAGACGGCGGCGAUGGAACAAAUCACCCUCACAACUUUCGGAUUCAACACAUGAUCGGUAGAGAUAUAGCCCUUUCUCGAUGGAUAUGCGACUGUAAUGUUGAGGAUCUGCAUUCAACUAUAGUUGAUUAUAAUUUCUCUUAAAUUGAC
This 593-nucleotide long non-coding RNA is filed under the name Erythranthe guttata (spotted monkey flower). Its description in RNAcentral is "long non-coding RNA (EGUT_LNC001318)". Lineage: Eukaryota; Viridiplantae; Streptophyta; Magnoliopsida; Lamiales; Phrymaceae. The record is from RNAcentral.